UACGAAGGGGGCUAGCGUUGCUCGGAAUUACUGGGCGUAAAGCGCACGUAGGCGGUCUUUUUAAGUCGGGGGUGAAAUCCUGGAGCUCAACUCCAGAACUGCCUUCGAUACUGAAAGACUUGAGUCCGGGAGAGGUGAGUGGAACUGCGAGUGUAGAGGUGAAAUUCGUAGAUAUUCGCAAGAACACCAGUGGCGAAGGCGGCUCACU
Molecule: ribosomal RNA, 208 nt
Filed under: uncultured bacterium
Lineage: Bacteria
Description: partial 16S ribosomal RNA
Rfam family: Bacterial small subunit ribosomal RNA
Source: RNAcentral